Non-coding RNA from Kogia breviceps (pygmy sperm whale), 532 nucleotides. The record is from RefSeq and is a predicted model, not a curated record. NCBI's taxonomy places the organism in Eukaryota, Metazoa, Chordata, Mammalia, Artiodactyla, Physeteridae.
AAGUAAGCAGGCAGUUUUCGAAGUCAAAGAAGGUGAAAGAUAGAAAAGGGUCAUCUUCCCCAAUCAAGAAAGGGAACCCAUGCCUACAAGUUAGAGAACCCCCGAAAUUCUCCCACUGCCAUAAACCGCUGAAACGGAGAGCUAAGGCAGGGACUCUGUGAGUCAUGAGAACAGAAUCCAGUGAGGAGAUGCUGGCGCAGGACAUUUCCUGUUUUCAGAGUCCCUGCCAAGCCAGUUAUGGAUGGAUUUGCAUUUGGCUUGGGAAAUGAGUGCACCAAGCCAGUUUUGGUAGCUCUGCUUCCCCCUGGGUGGGGCAGCAAGCCCCAAUAAAAAGGUCCUCUGCUGCACGACAGCUAUCCUUCUGCUACUCGAGUUCCGAUUGAACUUGGAGAACCUGAUAUUGAGAUUCCAGAAAGAUGUCUUCUCAAGAGCAGCAGUGCAAGCAGCAGUGCAAGCCACCUCCAGUGUGCCCACAUAAGUGCCCUGAUCCUUGCUCACCUACCAAGGUGAAAGACCCUUGCCCACAGAAAAA